Long non-coding RNA from Toxorhynchites rutilus septentrionalis, 520 nucleotides. RefSeq lists it as uncharacterized. The record is from RefSeq and is a predicted model, not a curated record. NCBI's taxonomy places the organism in Eukaryota, Metazoa, Arthropoda, Insecta, Diptera, Culicidae. The transcript has 2 exons.
ACCAAUCGAACGCUAUAAACAUCACUUCUAUUGUUAGUGACUAAAGGCUACCAUUCCAUUGUUUAUCGACAUUUCUUGUGAUUCGAGUUAAACUUGGUAUUUAAAUUUUAAAUUUUGUGUAAUUGUUGUAUAUUCGUAAAAUAAUUAAUUGAACCCGCCCAUCAUGGAAGCAGGAAGAUCUCCAGUAAAAACGCCAAACCCAGGUCCAAGCCGACCUCAACCUGACAAAAUCACGCUCAAAUUAUUCAUUGAACCAAAUGCUGCUGGCGACCAAAGUAACCAAGACAAAGCGAGCCCCCGAUUUGUACCCACGGGAGAAACGAAGCGAAGAAAAAAUUAGAAUCGUUGCUUGAAGAUUUCGCAAUUAGCUAGAACACCAUAGCACAAUUAUCAAGAAUGUGUAAUGAACACAGAGCCGAGGCAACAUCGUUUUCCUUCGCAUUGGCAUUCAUCUUGCGUUCAGCUGAGGUCACCAACUUUUAAUUGUUCCGUUAUAAUGAAAAUAAAUAAUUAACAUCUC